Molecule: ribosomal RNA, 497 nt
Filed under: uncultured bacterium
Lineage: Bacteria
Description: partial 16S ribosomal RNA
Rfam family: Bacterial small subunit ribosomal RNA
Source: RNAcentral
GAUGAACGCUGGCGGCGUGCCUAAUACAUGCAAGUCGAGCGAACGGACGAGAAGCUUGCUUUUCUGAUGUUAGCGGCGGACGGGUGAGUAACACGUGGAUAACCUACCUAUAAGACUGGGAUAACUUCGGGAAACCGGAGCUAAUACCGGAUAAUAUUUUGAACCGCAUGGUUCAAAAGUGAAAGACGGUCUUGCUGUCACUUAUAGAUGGAUCCGCGCUGCAUUAGCUAGUUGGUAAGGUAACGGCUUACCAAGGCAACGAUGGAUAGCCGACCUGAGAGGGUGAUCGGCCACACUGGAACUGAGACACGGUCCAGACUCCUACGGGAGGCAGCAGUAGGGAAUCUUCCGCAAUGGGCGAAAGCCUGACCCAGCCACGCCGCGUGAGUGAUGAAGGUCUUCGGAUCGUAAAACUCUGUUAUUAGGGAAGAACAGAUGUGUAAGUAACUGUGCACAUCUUGACGGUACCUAAUCAGAAAGCCCCGGCUAACUACGUG